Symphalangus syndactylus (siamang) is the source of this 2277-nucleotide long non-coding RNA. RefSeq lists it as uncharacterized. The record is from RefSeq and is a predicted model, not a curated record. NCBI's taxonomy places the organism in Eukaryota, Metazoa, Chordata, Mammalia, Primates, Hylobatidae.
AGUGGCAGCCACCCCAGGACCUGAGAGCUGGGGCAGGAUGCACACCCCAGUGCCCCGAGUCUCAGUCUUUCAGCUGCCUUGGCCUCCAUCUCUGAGCUGCUCCCCUGACAAGGGGGAUCCACCAUAGGGCACCUGGGCUGAGUUCCAGGGAAAACUGGCGGGGGAUAGCCUGGGCCUCUUGGACCAAGUUCAGGCCUGCUUUGGGACUGUCCUAGCAUCCCACUGGAUGUGUAGGAUACACUUGCUGGGAGAAUCCUUCAAUCGAAUUAAAGAAUUAGGUCUAGAAAUCCUCAAACCCAACCAAAGAAAUCUGGAAAUCCUCAAAUUCAACCACAAAAUCCUAGAUCUGGCAGAGCCUUCAAGGAAUCUUCCAGUCCAGUCUCUGCCCCAGGAGGGUGAACACCUCAGCCAUCCAUGACAGCUGUUUUUCCUCCAGGCCUUUAAAAAGGCCAACUCAGCCUUCACUCCUACUCAACACCUCAACUUCAUUUCUCAUUCCCCACCCAGGAAGAACCUGUAUGCCCCCUGCAUCCCACUGCACUUCCGGAUGCCUUUUCCCCCAAGACUGGAAUGGCCUCAGGUCCCCAUCUCCAGGUGAGUGGCCCUCACCUACAGACUCAACAUGUGGCCUUUGGCUCUUCCCACUUCCAAGAGUCUUGGAAGGGAUGGGUCAAGCAAGCAGAGGAAAGGAAGAUGUGAGUUCCCCAAAUGCUCCUCACCUUUUUCUUCUGAGUGGGCUCCUUCUCACUGGCAUUGGAGGGCUUGCGGCGCAGCAUGGUCCUCCACCCUGGGAGACUCCGUCCCUGCUCUCCUAGGUGUCAAGAUGCAGAGGCCUCUUGCUUAGCCUCGCCAGAACUGCCCGGGGGCACGGCAUGAACCGAGCCUUCAGCUGCCACUCUGCCUGCUGCAGUGGCAGCUUGGGGGUGCGGGCCAUGGACACCGGGCGGCAGCAGCAUACAGGAAGCCCUGCCACGUGACCUACUCUUACAGCAAUCGCAGCCCCUGCCGGCCCCUAGGGAGGAAGGAAGUCCAAGCUUCAGUCUCCAGAGAUUCUGAUGCAGACGGCUCUUGGGUUGAACAGUCAGAGAAAGUCCCUACCAUGUUGUCUCAUGUCGAUCAUCAUCAGUCCUUCUGCUCCAUCUUCCUAGAGGUGGACAAUCAGCUCGACAUUAUAUGGCGUACUCAAGCCCUUUAUCUCACUGACCAGAAUCCAGAAACCAGAAGUUGGACCAUCUGGCUGCCUGUUGGAUCAAUGCUCCUGGUCAACUCACAUCUUCAAGGUCAUCACUGCCAUCACUACCACUACCAUCACCCCUGUGACCAUCACCACUGCUACCAUCACUCCUAUCAAUAGCCAUCACCAUACAGCCAUCACCCCUACAUCCAUCAGGCCUGCAGCCAUCCCUGCUGCCAUCAGCACACCUAUAGCCAUCGUCACUACGGUAAUCACCUCUACAGUUGAUAUCCUUCAGCCAUCACCUCUACAGUCACCACCAUUGCUGCUAUCACCCUUCCAGCCAUCAUCCUCAUAGCCUUCACCCUUCUGGACAUUACAGCCAACCACACCCAUGACCCUCUCACCCCUAUAACCAUCAUCCCUACAGUCAUUGCUCCUACAACCAUCAUCACAUCCGUGCAGCCAUCAGCCCUGCAACCAUCACUCCUACAGCCAUCAGCACACCUAAGGCCAUCAUCACUAGAGCAGUCACCCCUCCAGUCAGUACCCCUCAGCCAUCAUAUUUAUCACCACCACAGCUGAAAACACUUGCAGCCAACUCCACGCCUCUAGCAAGUAUCCAACAGGCAUUUAUCAAACACCUAUGCAGUAUAUUCAAUUUGUGGGUUAUCUGUGGCAGCUUUUAAUAACCUUAAUAACUUCUUGUUGUUACAAAAGCAAUUUGUAUUUGUCAUACAAUUUCACAAACACAUAAACAAAAAAAAUUUCAAAAUUUCCCAUCAUUGUCCUCUACACUGUUUUAAGCAUCUAUCUACUCUCUGUCUAUACACAUUUUUUUUCUUUUUACAAAAAUCAUACUGCUCAGAAAACAGAUAAUUGGUUUGGGGAGAAGGGGAGGGGAGAGAAGGGAAGGGAGAGAUCACACAGGGUAACAGGAAGCUUUUAGGAAUGGUGAAUAUGUUCACUAUCUUGAUUGUGGUGAUGAUUUCAUGGGGGAAUACACAUGUCAAAAUGUAUCAAAUUGUAUACUUCAAAUAUGUGCAGUUUAUUGUAGCUCCAUUAUACCUCAAUAAAGCUGUUUAAAAUUUUUUAAUUAAAAA